RNAcentral lists this long non-coding RNA (1532 nucleotides) under Capsicum annuum. RNAcentral describes it as "long non-coding RNA (CANN_LNC017986)". The record is from RNAcentral. Lineage: Eukaryota; Viridiplantae; Streptophyta; Magnoliopsida; Solanales; Solanaceae.
GCGUGCCUACUUGAAAUACUACUUAAUCUUAAGUAAAAUUUAAUUAAGCGAGUAGUUAGUUUAACAAAAAUAAUUAUUUAAAUUUAUUAAUAAUAACAAAUAAAUUAAAAAUAAUAAUAAUAAUAAUAAAUUAAUAAUAAUAAUAAUAAUAAUACCCUAAACUAACUAUAUAAUUUCUAAUUUUGAUAAAAUCCCCAAAUUUAUAUGUAUAUUUCUUAAUUAAUAUAAAACUUAAAUACUAUAAAACCAAAAUAGUCAACUUAGUAACUUUUUAAGUUCAGCAAUAAAUCAAAAAGAGAAGGUGUCUUCGCCGGGGUUCGAAAUUCUCUGGAGAAAGGGGUCAUCGGCGACGGGAAAGGGAUGGCAGCCAUGGAGCUUCGCCGGAUUUGGUGUUUUCCGGUUUUAAUGGGUUUUCCUGCAUGGGUUGGUCGGAGUUUGAGAAAAAUGACAGUAGAAGAGGGUGGAUCUCUGGUUUGAGGUGGUUACCAGCGGAAUCACGUGGUUUUGGGGAAGGGGAUCGCCGGUGGUUCAUGGCGCGGUUGAAGGCUUGCCGGCGAAGCACCGAGCAGUCAAAACCGGCCAGAUCUGGAUGGAGUAAGGCGGUUGUUCGCCGGAGUUGUGCCAGCAGAUUGGUUUUCCGGUAUGGGAGUAGCCAAUUUCGGUGAAGGAUGGCCGACUCCGGUGAAAAAUUCAUCGGACAACUCAAAAUCUACUGUUAACUAUUUUUCUAUUUCUUCGUUUUUUACUGCUUCCCCUUUUCCGCGUCUUUCUCUGUCUUCUCUCCUAUUCUUCUUUUUCUCUCUCUCGAUUCCCUCCUUUUCUACUAUUUUUCCUAUUUCACUGUGUAUCCAUGGUGUUUGUGAGUUUCUGUUGUGUGUGCGCAGUGUAUGUAUAUCAGUGUAGUGUGAAAAAGAAUGGAGUGUUUCUGGGUGGUAUAUUGUUGUGUGUGCUUUAUAGUGAGUGGGUGGAUAUCUGUGUACGUGAAUUGUGAUGUCUAUUUUUCCUUUCUUCUUUUUCUAUCCAUUUCAAGUUUUAACCAAACAGUGUUACGCACAGUAUUUUAAUUCUUAAUACAUCUAUAUAUCAGUAUAUAAACAUUCGAUAAUUUCAUUGCAUAAUAUGCUAUAACAAAAAGUUUAUAUAAUCAAGCAUACAUACUACAUAGUGUAUUGAGAUUAUUUAAACAUUUUCAUUCAUACUUUUUUUAUAAUAACUCAUAGCAUGAGUGAUGCAAAAUUAAAUAAGAACCUAAAUGAUUUCAAGUGAGUAAUGAAGAAUGAAAUUCGUCACCAAAAAUUUAAAGGAAAUCCAAAUUGGGGUGGGAGUCCUUUCUGUACAGAAACUUUGGGUGGAACAGUUAAUCAGAUAGGAUAGGGUUUUUGUAUUUGUGAAAAAAAAUUGAAUCUUUUUUUAGAUAUAAGAUAAUUAAUAAUAACAAAUAAAAAUAAUAAAUAAAUAAAUUAAAAAUAAUAUAAUAAUAGCUAAUUAAUUUUUACAUUUAAUAAAAUAUAAUAAAAGUUUAUAAAAUAUCC